UUAAGUUCAGCGGGUAUCCCUACCUGAUCCGAGGUCAACCUUAAGAAAGAUUUAACGGCCAAAAGCCGCCCGAACUCUUCAGCGAAAUAUAUGUCACAACGCUUAGAGACGAACUGCUCAGCCGGAGACUUUAAGGCGCGCGGAACCGCGACGCCCAAUACCAAGCUAGGCUUGAGUGGUGAAAUGACGCUCGAACAGGC
RNAcentral lists this unclassified non-coding RNA (200 nucleotides) under Passalora sp. RNAcentral describes it as "partial internal transcribed spacer 2". The record is from RNAcentral. Lineage: Eukaryota; Fungi; Ascomycota; Dothideomycetes; Mycosphaerellales; Mycosphaerellaceae.